GACGAACGCUGGCGGCGUGCUUAACACAUGCAAGUCGAACGGAAAGGCCCUGCUUUUGUGGGGUGCUAGAGUGGCGAACGGGUGAGUAACACGUGAGUAACCUGCCCUUGACUUUGGGAUAACUUCAGGAAACUGGGGCUAAUACCGGAUAGGAGCUCCUGCUGCAUGGUGGGGGUUGGACAGUUUCGGCGGUUGGGGAUGGACUCGCGGCUUAUCAGCUUGUUGGUGGGGUAGUGGCUUACCAAGGCUUUGACGGGUAGCCGGCCUGAGAGGGUGGCCGGCCACAUGGGGACUGAGAGACGGCCCAGACUCCUACGGUAGGCAGCAGUGGAGAGUAUUGCACAAUGGGCGGAAGCCUGAUGCAGCAACGCCGCGUGCGGAAUGACGGCCUUCGGGUUGUAAACCGCUGUCGCCUGUGACGAAGCGUGAGUGACGGUAAUGGGUGAAGAAGCACCGGCUAACUACGUG
This 468-nucleotide ribosomal RNA is filed under the name uncultured bacterium. RNAcentral's name for it is "partial 16S ribosomal RNA". It matches the Rfam family "Bacterial small subunit ribosomal RNA", at positions 28 to 507 of the family's 1533-position model. The record is from RNAcentral.